AUAAAGUUUAAUUUUGAUUUGUGGGGGUCAUUAUGUUUUUUAUUUACAUGUAAAUUUUUGUGGGGUUUUAUAAAAAUUUUAAAGAAUAUUUUAUGGGGAUGAAUAUUCGCAGUAUGUAAAUUUUUUUAUUUAAGAAAUUAAGAAUAAUAAAUAAAUAAUAGUAUUAACAAAAUUUGUGCCAGCAGUUGCGGUUAUACAGAAAAUACAAAUGAAUUUUUUUGGUUUAUAAUAAAAUGUUUUUUUUAAUAAAAAUUAAAUUUAUUAAGUGAAAUUUUAAAUUUAAAUUAGUUAUUAAUUGAGUUAUUUGAAAUUAUGAGAUUUAGAUUUUAAACUAGGAUUAGAUACCCUAUUAUUUUAAGUGUAAAUAUUAUCAUGCUAAAGUAGUAAUAGUUAUGGUCUUCAAAUUUAAAAAAUUUGGCGGUAUUUUAGUCUAUUCAGAGGAACCUGUUCUAUAAUUGAUAUUCCACGAUUAAAUGUACUUGAAUUAAUAGUUUGUAUAUCGUCGUUAUUAAUUAUUUUAUUAGAAUUUAAAUAAUUAAGAUUUUUUAUUAAAAAGUAAAUCAGAUCAAGGUGCAGUUUAUAUUUAAGAAGAAAUGGGUUACAAUAAAUUUAUUUAUUAUGGAUUUAUUUAUUUAAAUUAAUAAUGAAAGUGGAUUUGAUAGUAAUAAAAUUUAUAUAAAUUUUAUGAUUUUAGCUCUAAAAUGUGUACAUAUCGCCCGUCGCUCUUAUUAUAAGGUAAGAUAAGUCGUAACAGAGUGGGUGUACUGGAAAGUGUGUCUAGAAAGAC
Molecule: non-coding RNA, 787 nt
Filed under: Limbodessus compactus
Lineage: Eukaryota; Metazoa; Arthropoda; Insecta; Coleoptera; Dytiscidae
Source: RNAcentral